CUGCAAAAAUGGAGGGCAGAGCCUCAGGAAAGAAAUAUAUUUGUGAAUUUGAGUUGGGAUUUACAUAAUUUCACUCCUCAUUUUAUUUUGAAUUUAAUUACUUUCAAAACCGCUAAAAAGGUAUAAACACACACAUGCAUGCACAAAUGUGAUGGAGCAAUGCAGUUACUCAUGCUGUUGUUGACAGCUAGCGGGGCUUGUAUUUCUUCCCGGUAAACAAUUUCCCUUUUGCAGUACACUGUGGUCUGUCCUCCCCAGUCCCUUCCUGAUUGUUAAAUAGGAACUUACUGGAGAGACACUGGGAAGUUUGCAGGUUUAUUUGGAGGCCAUUUAGACUAGACUGCUUUGGUGCUUCAUUAAUUUUGAGUCCUCUUUAAAUCAGAUUUGAAGUUUAUAGUUCUAAGCUUCUGAGAUUAUUUUUUUCCCAUACUCUUGUGAGUAUUAGGAAGUUGGCAGAAAGUACAGAUAAUAUAAGUCAUUCACUCAAAGGUAUGCAGAAAACACAUGGAGCUUAAAGUCUUGUCUUCUGUUCCUAAUUCAAUAUUCUUUCCACCCAAAUCUUCCCACGUCUAUGCUAUGUUCGUACUGUCUUCUCCUGACAUUUAACUUCCCAAGCUUCCUUUAGUAAUUGGACCAAGGAAAUGAUUUUGGGGUC
RNAcentral lists this long non-coding RNA (655 nucleotides) under Bos taurus (domestic cattle). Its description in RNAcentral is "long non-coding RNA NONBTAT020541". Lineage: Eukaryota; Metazoa; Chordata; Mammalia; Artiodactyla; Bovidae. The record is from RNAcentral.